This is a long non-coding RNA of Oncorhynchus keta (chum salmon), 1044 nucleotides long. RefSeq lists it as uncharacterized. The transcript has 7 exons. The record is from RefSeq and is a predicted model, not a curated record. Lineage: Eukaryota; Metazoa; Chordata; Actinopteri; Salmoniformes; Salmonidae.
UGUGUCUAGUCCCUACAGUGGAGGGAGGAUGGAGGGCAGAGGGAACAGAGGUGUCUAGUCCCUACAGUGGAGGGAGGAUGGAGGGCAGAGGGGACAGAGGUGUGUCUAGUCCCUACAGUGGAGGGAGGAUGGAGGGCAGAGGGAACAGAGGUGUGUCUAGUCCCUACAGUGGAGGGAGGAUGGAGGGCAGAGGGGACAGAGGUGUGUCUAGUCCCUACAGUGGAGGGAGGAUGGAGGGCAGAGGGGACAGAGGUGUGUCUAGUCCCUACAGUGGAGGGAGGAUGGAGGGCAGAGGGGACAGAGGUGUGUCUAGUCCCUACAGUGGAGGGAGGAUGGGAUGGAGGGCAGAGGGGACAGAGGUGUGUCUAGUCCCUACAGUGGAGGGAGGAUGGGAUGGAGGGCAGAGGGGACAGAGGUGUGUCUAGUCCCUACAGUGGAGGGAGGAUGGAGGGCAGAGGGGACAGAGGUGUGUCUAGUCCCUACAGUGGAGGGAGGAUGGAGGGCAGAGGGGACAGAGGUGUGUCUAGUCCCUACAGUGGAGGGAGGAUGGAGGGCAGAGGGGACAGAGGUGUGUCUAGUCCCUACAGUGGAGGGAGGAUGGAGGGCAGAGGGGACAGAGGUGUGUCUAGUCCCUACAGUGGAGGGAGGAUGGGAUGGAGGGCAGAGGGGACAGAGGUGUGUCUAGUCCCUACAGUGGAGGGAGGAUGGAGGGCAGAGGGGACAGAGGUGUGUCUAGUCCCUACAGUGGAGGGAGGAUGGAGGGCAGAGGGGACAGAGGUGUGUCUAGUCCCUACAGUGGAGGGAGGAUGGAGGGCAGAGGGGACAGAGGUGUGUCUAGUCCCUACAGUGGAGGGAGGAUGGAGGGCAGAGGGGACAGAGGUGUGUCUAGUCCCUACAGUGGAGGGAGGAUGGGAUGGAGGGCAGAGGGGACAGAGGUGUGUCUAGUCCCUACGGUGGAGGGAGGAUGGAGGAAGUGGUUCCUCUCUGUCAGGCUUUCCUUCCCAGGCGUCGUCUCUCUGUUUAGCUGCCAGACGCUUCUGCUCU